UGGGGAAUAUUGCACAAUGGGCGCAAGCCUGAUGCAGCCAUGCCGCGUGUAUGAAGAAGGCCUUCGGGUUGUAAAGUACUUUCAGCGGGGAGGAAGGGAGUAAAGUUAAUACCUUUACUCAUUGACGUUACCCGCAGAAGAAGCACCGGCUAACUCCGUGCCAGCAGCAGCGGUAAUACGGAGGGUGCAAGCGUUAAUCGGAAUUACUGGGCGUAAAGCGCACGCAGGCGGUCUGUCAAGUCGGAUGUGAAAUCCCCGGGCUCAACCUGGGAACUGCAUUCGAAACUGGCAGGCUAGAGUCUUGUAGAGGGGGGUAGAAUUCCAGGUGUAGCGGUGAAAUGCGUAGAGAUCUGGAUGAAUACCGGUAGCGAAGGCGGCCCCCUGAACAAAGACUGACGCUCAGGUGCGAAAGCGUGGGGAGCAAACAGG
Molecule: ribosomal RNA, 429 nt
Filed under: Chloroflexota bacterium
Lineage: Bacteria; Bacillati; Chloroflexota
Description: Chloroflexi bacterium partial 16S ribosomal RNA
Rfam family: Bacterial small subunit ribosomal RNA
Source: RNAcentral